CGGGCUUUCCCGUGCGCAGCCGUUGUGCUGCCCGCCUCGGCGGGAACCGGGCGGGGGAGGAGAGAGGAAGGAAAGGAACUCUGGUGUCUGUGGGUUCUGCUGGUCAUCUCUGGGACAGUUGUUGGCUCCAAAGUCGUGCCACUCUGCAGGGGAAGAGAAUUAACUUUGAAGGCAAGAAUAAGAAAGAAAGAAUACAUGGCAGAAGAAAGGCUAUCACUUUGUAGGACAGGAGGCCACUUCAACAUCCUUCUCCAGAGAGAAAUGGAAGAUCUCCAUGGAUUGUUCAAAACAUUGUAUUAUUCAGGGAAAACACAUUCCUCUAGAAGCUGGAAAUUGAAGAUGCAGAGGAAUUCCUAGAUGGGACAUACUUGAGACUGUGUCACUUGACUUUCAAAAUUAUUAAAGAAUCACAGUUCUUCAAAUUUCCUGAUUUUGAUGGAAAACUCUCCUGCACUCAUACAAAUUUAUGCAUCAUGGAAAGUGGUUUCAAGAGAAGUUAUAUGGUACAACUUUAAAUUACACUUUUUCUCUGCAGUAACACAGCCUCUUUCCUAGAGGCUUUUACCCCAAGAUUCCAUUGUCUUGGGGAAGAACUUUGAAACUGGAGUGAGAACUUACCAUAUUUAGAAAAGAGAUCUCCAGCCUGCCUCUUUACAGAGUGAGAAAAGCAAGGAAUACCUAACAACCAUUCAAGAGAAUAUCAGAGAAAAUUCAAGGAGCUACACAAUGUGUUUUUUUUUUCUUUUUUUUUUUUUUUCAGCAAGCCUCAUCCUGCAGCAACAGCAGCAAUUCCAGGACCUUCUGGUCCAGAGGCGUGCCAACCUACACAACAUGCAGUACUCACUGUCAAUCCAAACCCUGUGCUAUCAAAGCCAGGCUCUGGUGAUGACUCAAAAGCAUAUCUAUCUGCAUUCAGAUAAGUUACUAUGGCAACCUCUCUGGCCUAAAAAGAGAUGGACCACAUUAGUUACUUAGCAGCACCUUUUUGACAGGCGAAACACAAGCUGCUCAUUCCAGAUGAUGGUUUGAUUUAGAAUUAAGUCUGUCUGAGCGCUGCUGUGGAGUUCUCUGAAGUGCUAAUGAUGUAACCCAGAGAGAAGAUCUUCUUUUGGGACUCAACUUCAGACUGCGGCCUAAAGGGACUGAGCUAUAUGGUGGCUUUGCCUGAGAAACACAAGUUAACAGAACAGCUGACAAUCUUUUUCCCACAUUCUGAAGAAAUUCUUUCUGAAGAUCUUCUAAGCGCGGUCGGCUGGGCUAAGACACUCUUGCAGAAGAUGUGUAGGAUACCAAGGAUUACUUGAGUUGCUGCUGGCACAAAACAUCUUCUAGAUUGAAGUACAUAUUCAAAGUACAAAUAAUAAACCCUGCAGAAGUCGGAGUUCCCAUGACUGAUAUGAAGGAAGCCUGGAGUUCUAACAGAAAUGCAUGCAUUCCAAAUGAAAAACUGCAUGGUGUGAGGGCUCUUUAAGUUUUGGAUUAGGGAAUGAAGACUUCCAGAGACUAGGUUGGAGAGGAAAAUGGACCCCUCAAUGAAUCAAGACUGAAAAGAGAAAAAGUUGGACAUAUUACCCAUAAUCAUAUUCCACUAUCAGGAACCACUAUGUGGUUAAAAAACAAACUAAAAACAAAGCACAUCCAUAGUCCAAAGCAGGAGAAAGAUAUGGAACCAGGCCAUUAAUAUACCAAGCAACUUCUAUAGACUUGGGAAGUACUCAGCUCCCUAACUAGGAAAACUUUUUCACCCCAGAAACAAUAGAAAUAGUCUUACUGAUACAAUGGUUGUUCAGAAGUCCACAUAGAUGUCUGCUGACAUAGCUAUACUGCUUUAAGCCUAUGGCGGAAUGCUUGGUUGAAUAACUAAAACGCAAUCUUAAUAUACUAGUUGUUUGAGUAGGGUAAUGAAGCCCUGGUAAUCCAUACAAAGUGAGGAAGGUUUUGAAAUCACUUGUUGCUUCCAACUUUUGUGAAUCAAGAUAGGCAAAUCUGGCAUUGCAUGUAGACUAGUAGACUGUACCCAUAAGCAGAGGCAAACAAAUGAAGUAACAAAUAAAAAAGCAGAACUGGUGGCUA
Long non-coding RNA from Centrocercus urophasianus (Greater sage-grouse), 2073 nucleotides. RefSeq lists it as uncharacterized. The transcript has 3 exons. The record is from RefSeq and is a predicted model, not a curated record. Lineage: Eukaryota; Metazoa; Chordata; Aves; Galliformes; Phasianidae.